GUGGUGGUGGUGGUGGUGGCGGGGCAGAACCUGAUGAAGUAGAUGCUGGUGGUGGUUGCACGCUUGUUGAAGCUGGUCCACUCACAGGUGGUGGAGGUCUUGAUGGUCCAGAGUGUUGAUAAUGUUGAGGUGGGCCUCGAGGUGGAGGCAUUGCUGAAUGGUAUGGUGGAUACUGUUGAUAAGGUGGCAUUGGUUGCAUGUACCCGUAUGGCGGAUAAUGUUGAUGAGGAUAUUGUCCAGGUGGAGGCGGCGGCAUACCUUGGUAAGAAUAGUGUUGUGCUUGUUGUUUAUCUGACCCAGGUUUGUUCUCCCCAUCCUUAGACGGAACCAGAGCACCCAUUCUUUGAGGGUCCAUUGAUGGAUAGUAGGCUCUAUCUAUCUGAGGUGGAGGUGGGAUAUUAAAGUACUGCAUAG
RNAcentral lists this long non-coding RNA (414 nucleotides) under Gossypium barbadense (sea-island cotton). RNAcentral's name for it is "long non-coding RNA (GBAR_LNC001796)". Lineage: Eukaryota; Viridiplantae; Streptophyta; Magnoliopsida; Malvales; Malvaceae. The record is from RNAcentral.